Molecule: ribosomal RNA, 1000 nt
Filed under: Microbacterium sp. HBUM178264
Lineage: Bacteria; Bacillati; Actinomycetota; Actinomycetes; Micrococcales; Microbacteriaceae
Description: bacterial SSU rRNA
Rfam family: Bacterial small subunit ribosomal RNA
Source: RNAcentral
UCUUUGGGGUGCUUACCAUGCAAGUCGAACGGUGAAGCCAAGCUUGCUUGGUGGAUCAGUGGCGAACGGGUGAGUAACACGUGAGCAACCUGCCCUGGACUCUGGGAUAAGCGCUGGAAACGGCGUCUAAUACUGGAUAUGAGACGUGAUCGCAUGGUCGUGUUUGGAAAGAUUUUUCGGUCUGGGAUGGGCUCGCGGCCUAUCAGCUUGUUGGUGAGGUAAUGGCUCACCAAGGCGUCGACGGGUAGCCGGCCUGAGAGGGUGACCGGCCACACUGGGACUGAGACACGGCCCAGACUCCUACGGGAGGCAGCAGUGGGGAAUAUUGCACAAUGGGCGGAAGCCUGAUGCAGCAACGCCGCGUGAGGGAUGACGGCCUUCGGGUUGUAAACCUCUUUUAGCAGGGAAGAAGCGAAAGUGACGGUACCUGCAGAAAAAGCGCCGGCUAACUACGUGCCAGCAGCCGCGGUAAUACGUAGGGCGCAAGCGUUAUCCGGAAUUAUUGGGCGUAAAGAGCUCGUAGGCGGUUUGUCGCGUCUGCUGUGAAAUCCCGAGGCUCAACCUCGGGCCUGCAGUGGGUACGGGCAGACUAGAGUGCGGUAGGGGAGAUUGGAAUUCCUGGUGUAGCGGUGGAAUGCGCAGAUAUCAGGAGGAACACCGAUGGCGAAGGCAGAUCUCUGGGCCGUAACUGACGCUGAGGAGCGAAAGGGUGGGGAGCAAACAGGCUUAGAUACCCUGGUAGUCCACCCCGUAAACGUUGGGAACUAGUUGUGGGGACCAUUCCACGGUUUCCGUGACGCAGCUAACGCAUUAAGUUCCCCGCCUGGGGAGUACGGCCGCAAGGCUAAAACUCAAAGGAAUUGACGGGGACCCGCACAAGCGGCGGAGCAUGCGGAUUAAUUCGAUGCAACGCGAAGAACCUUACCAAGGCUUGACAUAUACGAGAACGGGCCAGAAAUGGUCAACUCUUUGGACACUCGUAAACAGGUGGUGCAUGGUU